UACGGGGGGGGCAAGCGUUGUUCGGAAUUACUGGGCGUAAAGGGCUCGUAGGCGGCCAACUAAGUCAGACGUGAAAUCCCUCGGCUUAACCGGGGAACUGCGUCUGAUACUGGAUGGCUGGAGAUUGGGAGAGGGAUGCGGAAUUCCAGGUGUAGCGGUGAAAUGCGUAGAUAUCUGGAGGAACACCGGUGGCGAAGGCGGCAUCCUGGACCGAGAUUGACGCUGAUGCGCGAAAGCCAGGGGAGCAAACGGG
RNAcentral lists this ribosomal RNA (253 nucleotides) under uncultured bacterium. Its description in RNAcentral is "partial 16S ribosomal RNA". It matches the Rfam family "Bacterial small subunit ribosomal RNA", at positions 524 to 776 of the family's 1533-position model. The record is from RNAcentral.